CACGUAGGGCGCAAGCGUUGUCCGGAAUUAUUGGGCGUAAAGAGCUCGUAGGUGGUUUGUUACGUCUGCUGUGAAAACCUAGGGCUUAACCCUGGGCUUGCAGUGGAUACGGGCAGACUAGAGGUAGGUAGGGGAGAAUGGAAUUCCUGGGUGUAGCGGGUGAAGUGCGCAGAUAUCAGGAGGAACACCGGUGGCGAAGGCGGUUCUCUGGGCCUUACCUGACACUGAGGAGCGAAAGCGUGGGGAGCGAACAGG
Molecule: ribosomal RNA, 255 nt
Filed under: uncultured bacterium
Lineage: Bacteria
Description: partial 16S ribosomal RNA
Rfam family: Bacterial small subunit ribosomal RNA
Source: RNAcentral